ACGAACGCUGGCGGCGUGCUUAACACAUGCAAGUCACGGGGGUCCCGCAAGGGAUAACCGGCGAACGGGUGCGUAACACGUGAACAACCUGCCCUCGUGUGGGGGAUAGCCAUGCUAACGCGUGGGUAAUACCGCAUACGGUCCUCUGGGGGAGUCCCUGGGGGAAGAAAGCUCCGGCGCACGGGGAGGGGUUCGCGGCCUAUCAGCUAGUUGGGGGUAGUAGCCGACCAA
This 231-nucleotide ribosomal RNA is filed under the name uncultured bacterium. Its description in RNAcentral is "partial 16S ribosomal RNA". It matches the Rfam family "Bacterial small subunit ribosomal RNA", at positions 29 to 271 of the family's 1533-position model. The record is from RNAcentral.